UACGGAGGGUGCAAGCGUUAUCCGGAUUCACUGGGUUUAAAGGGUGCGUAGGUGGUUUUGUAAGUCAGUGGUGAAAGCCCGGAGCUUAACUCCGGAACUGCCAUUGAUACUGCUUAACUUGAAUCAAGUAGAGGUGGAUGGAAUAAUACAUGUAGCGGUGAAAUGCUUAGAUAUGUAUUAGAACACCGAUUGCGAAGGCAGUUCACUAUGCUUGUAUUGACACUGAGGCACGAAAGCGUGGGGAUCAAACAGG
This 253-nucleotide ribosomal RNA is filed under the name uncultured bacterium. Its description in RNAcentral is "partial 16S ribosomal RNA". It matches the Rfam family "Bacterial small subunit ribosomal RNA", at positions 524 to 776 of the family's 1533-position model. The record is from RNAcentral.